CAAGUCGAACGGCAGCACGGAGAGCUUGCUCUCUGGUGGCGAGUGGCGAACGGGUGAGUAAUAUAUCGGAACGUAUCCAAUAAUGGGGGAUAACGAGUCGAAAGAUUCGCUAAUACCGCAUACGCCCUACGGGGGAAAGCAGGGGAUCGUAAGACCUUGCGUUAAUGGAGCGGCCGAUAUCUGAUUAGCUAGUAGGUGAGGUAAAGGCUCACCUAGGCUUCGAUCAGUAGCUGGUCUGAGAGGACGACCAGCCACACUGGAACUGAGACACGGUCCAGACUCCUACGGGAGGCAGCAGUGGGGAAUUUUGGACAAUGGGCGCAAGCCUGAUCCAGCCAUUCCGCGUGAGUGAAGAAGGCCUUCGGGUUGUAAAGCUCUUUCGCAAGGGAAGAAACGAUACCGACGAAUAAUCGGUGUUAAUGACGGUACCUUGAUAAGAAGCACCGGCUAACUACGUGCCAGCAGCCGCGGUAAUACGUAGGGUGCGAGCGUUAAUCGGAAUUACUGGGCGUAAAGCGUGCGCAGGCGGUUUUGUAAGUCAGAUGUGAAAUCCCCGGGCUCAACCUGGGAACUGCGUUUGAAACUACAAGGCUAGAGUAUGGUAGAGGGGGGUAGAAUUCCACGUGUAGCAGUGAAAUGCGUAGAGAUGUGGAGGAAUACCAAUGGCGAAGGCAGCCCCCUGGACUAAUACUGACGCUCAUGCACGAAAGCGUGGGGAGCAAACAGGAUUAGAUACCCUGGUAGUCCACGCCCUAAACGAUGUCUACUAGUUGUUGGGAGAGUAAAAUCUCUUAGUAACGCAGCUAACGCGUGAAGUAGACCGCCUGGGGAGUACGGUCGCAAGAUUAAAACUCAAAGGAAUUGACGG
RNAcentral lists this ribosomal RNA (868 nucleotides) under uncultured bacterium. Its description in RNAcentral is "bacterial SSU rRNA". It matches the Rfam family "Bacterial small subunit ribosomal RNA", at positions 58 to 916 of the family's 1533-position model. The record is from RNAcentral.